Molecule: long non-coding RNA, 201 nt
Filed under: Nicotiana benthamiana
Lineage: Eukaryota; Viridiplantae; Streptophyta; Magnoliopsida; Solanales; Solanaceae
Description: long non-coding RNA (NBEN_LNC040155)
Source: RNAcentral
GAGGUCGUGGAGGCACCGGCAACUAUCGUGGCCGUGGAAGAGGUAAUCAUCAUUUCCAGCAAGAGGAAAUUACAACAAUCCAGGUCAGCAAAAACCUCCCCUUAAAUGCUAUAAAUACGGUAAAUUGGGUCAUUAUGCUAUUGUUGGAGUAAAAGAACUGAAAAUAAACAAGUUCAUGCUCGAGUAGCUGAGGAUGAAGGG